GCCCGGGUGGCGAAACUGGUAGACGCAAGGGACUUAAAAUCCCUCGGAGGCAACUCCAUGCCGGUUCGAGUCCGGCCCCGGGCACCA
This 87-nucleotide transfer RNA is filed under the name Chromatiales bacterium. RNAcentral's name for it is "tRNA-Leu". It matches the Rfam family "tRNA". From Rfam's summary of the family: Transfer RNA (tRNA) molecules are approximately 80 nucleotides in length. The record is from RNAcentral. Lineage: Bacteria; Pseudomonadati; Pseudomonadota; Gammaproteobacteria; Chromatiales.